This 301-nucleotide ribosomal RNA is filed under the name uncultured bacterium. RNAcentral describes it as "partial 16S ribosomal RNA". It matches the Rfam family "Bacterial small subunit ribosomal RNA", at positions 509 to 807 of the family's 1533-position model. The record is from RNAcentral.
CAGCAGCCACGGUAAAACGGAGGGGGCUAGCGUUGUUCGGAAUUACUGGGCAUAAAGCGCACGUAGGCGGCUUGGUAAGUUAGAGGUGAAAGCCUGGAGCUCAACUCCAGAAUUGCCUUUAAGACUGCCGAGCUAGCAGGUGAGAGAGGUAAGUGGAAUUCCGAGUGUAGAGGUGAAAUUCGUAGAUAUUCGGAAGAACACCAGUGGCGAAGGCGGCUUACUGGCUCAUACUGGACGCUGAGGUGCGAAAGCGUGGGGAGCAAACAGGAUUAGAUACCCCUGUAGUCCCUGUCUCUUAUAC